Molecule: long non-coding RNA, 1461 nt
Organism: Oncorhynchus masou masou (cherry salmon)
Lineage: Eukaryota; Metazoa; Chordata; Actinopteri; Salmoniformes; Salmonidae
Exons: 3
Source: RefSeq, a predicted model, not a curated record
ACAACGCCAACCUUAGUGCCAAGAAGUUCAACUUAUUUCUGUCUGUAUAUAAAAUGCCCUGGAUCUUAUGUAUGCAGGACUAAAGAGGUCACAUGGUGCUGUAAUGCCUCAUGUAGCUACAAUACUGUAAUGCACUGUCCCUGAAUUAGGUCACCCCCACCCCACCUAUCCCUUCUCUCUUCACAGCAGAUGGAGCAACAAACCCAAAUGAUGUCCCUGUGCUACUCUGUUUCUGCUCCUCUGUGCUAAUCCGUCUGGGACACACAUUUUAUGCACUAUGACAGCCUAGAGUCAUUGAACAGAAAGUUGGAUGUUAGAGACAACGUGUCCCCCUGACUGGACUCCUUUGAUGAGGGUGUCAGCGGUCAGUGGAACCCAGCGGUGGCCUCUCUCCUCAUCAGAGCCGGGGCUGAUGUCAACACCAGGACAAGGAUGGGAAGACGCCACUUAUGAGGACCUGAGCCCUAGUACCAUGCCUCUGGACUACCUGACAUGAUGACGCCUUGCUGUCCCCAGUCCACCUGGCCGUGCUGCUGCUCCAGUUUCAAUUGUUCUGCCUUAUUAUUAUUCGACCAUGCUGGGCUGGGUUUCUGUACAGCACUUUGAGAUAUCAGCCGAUGUACGAAGGUCUAUAUUUGAUUUGAUUUGAUUUUGAUUUGCAAACUCAUCGAGACUCAUGGUACAAACUCAUCGAGAUACAACAACUUUGUCUGCUUGGUGGCCGUGUUGAACCCCCACGAGUUGCUGGUGCAGUUGUUGUUGUACAGGGCCGACCACGAUGUGAAGAACGAGGUAAUGACAAGUAACAGCAUGGGUUCUGUUUCGAUUAGAGCAAUUGAAAUCAUUCUGGAAUUGACUGAUAUUUUUGUCUUUGCAGUUUGGGCCAGGGGCAGCUGAAAUAGCAAGGGCCUUUGGGAGAGACGUAAUGCUUUCUCCAUAAACAUUACGGUUGCAUUGUACAGUAUGUUACUGUUAUAGUGAAUAUAUGAGCAAGUGUUGUUUAUUAUUUUUUCCCUACAGAAUUUCAUCAGUUUAUUAGAAGGACAGAAGAGUAUCGUCAGAGAUGGUACAGUCCAUUAGUAAAGGGCUUAGGUGGACAGCGUCAUUUCCCCCCCUAAUUUCUAAAAGCUUUAUUAUUGUUGCUUAUUUUUUUAACACAUUAUAUGUAUGUAUCUAAACCUGCAUUUUUACCUGGAUAUUUGUUUUGCGUAACAAAAGUUUUAACUGUAUGAGAUUUUUAUGGAUAAAUGAAAUAAUAAACCAUCAAGAAUAACCUCAAGACACAAAGGAUUGACUUGGUUUCGCUUUACUGUACAGAUGUCUGAUAAAACCUCAUCCUACGAGAGGGAGACACAUUUCACUUUGCUGUGCGGAUGAGUCAUGUAUUAUUAUUUGUAAUGUGUUUGUGUUAAGUCUUCUGCCUACAUUCGCCUGGACAGUCAGCAAAAUAAACGCAUUUAA